AUGAAGAAUGGAACAGAAACUCAGCUAGUAUUCCUGGACUUUCUAACUUCUGGAUCACCCUUAUGUGUGUUUCAUGAACAAUUAACUCUAAGGAUAUCUUCAAUAAACGACUGCAAGGUUUCAAAAUGCUCUUCCCAUCGACAGACCACAAUUUUGAGAAAAUUGAAGCUUAUAAAAGGUAACAAGUCUGCUUUAAGAAAGAGAAUACAAAAUGGCAAGUAGAAAAUUAGGUAUGAAAGUAAAUAUUUAUUUAAAAUAAGAAAAGAAAUCAUAAGUAAUUGCUAGUGCAUUGGAGUUCAGGUCCGUUUCUUACCAAAUUGCUUUAAGUUAUUUACCAGAACUAUUUACACAGAAAUGCUUCUUGCAAUCUGUCUUCAUUUAUUCUCUCAGAACAAUCUACAGCCAGCAGUAAAUCCACGCAAUCAUAGAAGUCUGUUCAAGGGAGUGGCUCUGAAACUUAAGAUCCCUUAUCUUCAAUGUUAUUUGCUUCUCCCUCCAGGCCUCCAACUAAAGGUAGACUUGGAAAUGAGUAGUAAUGAAGCUUUCCUUAACUAGUGAAGUCACCCAUAAACCUCUGGUAGGGUCUGGUUAGUUCCUUGCUUUGAACACAUUUGUGUUGAGAAUGAAGUGUGUAGACAGAAAUAGGCAUUGUGUCCCCUGGUCUAAAUUCAGGUAUAUUUUUGGAGCAAAACAAAACUAUGGUAACAAUUGCAAAUUUAAAACUAUGUCAUAUCUCUGAAUUGCUACCUCUGGCCAUAAAGAAUAAAGAUGUAGAAUGAGUCCUCCCAUUCUAAAGAAUUAUAAAUCUGAACAACACAUAUAAGGCAACUGUUUUCAGGCAGUGUGCAAAAGGUAGCACAACAAUGCGAUUAUAAACAUUUGAAAAAUGAAAUGUUAAACUGCCAUUUACAGUGGAUUUUUUUAAAUUGAGAACAAUAUUAAAGGAAUGAAAUGGCAACUCACAGAAUGAGAGAUAGUUUUUGCAAAUCAUAUUCCUGAUAAAAGAGUAUUAUACAGAAUAAUAACUCAUACAACUCAACAACAAAAAACAAACAACCUGAUUAAAAAAUGAGCAAAGGACAGAUAUAAACACUUCUACAAAGAAGGUACACAAAUGGCCAAUAAGUAAAAGAAAAGAUGUUCAAAAGCACUAAUAAUUAGAGAAAUGCAAAUCAAACUAGAUUGUCUAUUAUUUAAAAAAAAAAAAAGAGAGAGAGAGAGAGAGACAGACCAGAGAAUAAUAAGUGUUGGCAAGGAUAUGGAGAAAUCAGACUGAUUGUGUAUUGCUGGUAAAAUAAAAAAAAUUUAACAGAUGCUGUGGAAAACAGUAUGGUAGUUCCACAAAAUAUUACACAUACAAUUAUGGUAUGAUACAGCAAUUCCACUUCUAGGUACAUACUCAAAGUAGGUGAAAGCAGGAAUUAGGGAGAUGUUUUUACAGAAAUGUUCAGAGUAGCAUUAUUCACAAUUUUCAAAAGGCAGAAACAACUCAAAUACCCACUGAGAGAAGAAACAAAGUAGAAGUAGGACAAAUACAUACAAUGAAAUAUUAUUCAGCAUUAAUAAGGAAGAAAAUUCUGAUACAUGCUACUAUAUAGAUGAACCUUGAAGACUUUAUGCUUAGUGAAAUGAAUCAGACACAAAGGACAAUAAUUGAAUUAUUGUGUGAUUCUGUUUAUAUGAAGUAAUUAGAAUAGCUAAAAUCAUAGAUAUGGAAAGGAAAAUAAUGCUUACCAGGGACUAAGGGGGAGAGAAAAUGGAGAGUUAUUAUUAAUAGAUACAGAGUUUCAGCAUGAGAUAUUGAAA
Long non-coding RNA from Macaca mulatta (Rhesus monkey), 1806 nucleotides. Lineage: Eukaryota; Metazoa; Chordata; Mammalia; Primates; Cercopithecidae. The record is from Ensembl.